AGAGUUUGAUCCUGGCUCAGGACGAACGCUGGCGGCGCGCCUAACACAUGCAAGUCGAACGAGCGAGAGAGAGCUUGCUUUCUCGAGCGAGUGGCGAACGGGUGAGUAACGCGUGAGGAACCUGCCUCAAAGAGGGGGACAACAGUUGGAAACGACUGCUAAUACCGCAUAAGCCCACAGGUCGGCAUCGACCAGAGGGAAAAGGAGCAAUCCGCUUUGAGAUGGCCUCGCGUCCGAUUAGCUAGUUGGUGAGGUAACGGCCCACCAAGGCAACGAUCGGUAGCCGGACUGAGAGGUUGAACGGCCACAUUGGGACUGAGACACGGCCCAGACUCCUACGGGAGGCAGCAGUGGGGAAUAUUGCACAAUGGGGGAAACCCUGAUGCAGCGACGCCGCGUGGAGGAAGAAGGUCUUCGGAUUGUAAACUCCUGUUGUUGAGGAAGAUAAUGACGGUACUCAACAAGGAAGUGACGGCUAACUACGUGCCAGCAGCCGCGGUAAAACGUAGGUCACAAGCGUUGUCCGGAAUUACUGGGUGUAAAGGGAGCGCAGGCGGGAAGACAAGUUGGAAGUGAAAUCUAUGGGCUCAACCCAUAAACUGCUUUCAAAACUGUUUUUCUUGAGUAGUGCAGAGGUAGGCGGAAUUCCCGGUGUAGCGGUGGAAUGCGUAGAUAUCGGGAGGAACACCAGUGGCGAAGGCGGCCUACUGGGCACCAACUGACGCUGAGGCUCGAAAGUGUGGGUAGCAAACAGGAUUAGAUACCCUGGUAGUCCACACCGUAAACGGAUGAUUACUAGGUGUUGGAGGAUUGACCCCUUCAGUGCCGCAGUUAACACAAUAAGUAAUCCACCUGGGGAGUACGACCGCAAGGUUGAAACUCAAAGGAAUUGACGGGGGCCCGCACAAGCAGUGGAGUAUGUGGUUUAAUUCGACGCAACGCGAAGAACCUUACCAAGUCUUGACAUCCUGCGACGAUGCUGGAAACAGUAUUUUCCUUCGGGACGCAGAGACAGGUGGUGCAUGGUUGUCGUCAGCUCGUGUCGUGAGAUGUUGGGUUAAGUCCCGCAACGAGCGCAACCCUUACUGUCAGUUACUACGCAAGAGGACUCUGGCAGGACUGCCGUUGACAAAACGGAGGAAGGCGGGGAUGACGUCAAAUCAUCAUGCCCCUUAUGACUUGGGCUACACACGUGCUACAAUGGCGUAAACAAAGGGAAGCAAAGCUGUGAAGCCGAGCAAAUCUCAAAAAUAACGUCUCAGUUCGGACUGUAGUCUGCAACCCGACUACACGAAGCUGGAAUCGCUAGUAAUCGCAGAUCAGAAUGCUGCGGUGAAUACGUUCCCGGGUCUUGCACUCACCGCCCGUCA
RNAcentral lists this ribosomal RNA (1370 nucleotides) under uncultured bacterium. Its description in RNAcentral is "bacterial SSU rRNA". It matches the Rfam family "Bacterial small subunit ribosomal RNA". The record is from RNAcentral.